UACAGAGGUGGCAAGCGUUGUUCGGAAUUACUGGGCGUAAAGGGCGCGUAGGCGGUCCCGUCAGUCCCUUGUGAAAUCCCCCGGCUCAACUGGGGAACUGCAAGGGAUACAGCGGGGCUUGAGUUCGGGAGAGGGAAGCGGAAUUCCGGGUGUAGCGGUGAAAUGCGUAGAUAUCCGGAGGAACACCGGCGGCGAAGGCGGCAUCCUGGACCGGGAUUGACACUGAGGCGCGAAAGCCAGGGGAGCAAACGGG
This 253-nucleotide ribosomal RNA is filed under the name uncultured bacterium. RNAcentral's name for it is "partial 16S ribosomal RNA". It matches the Rfam family "Bacterial small subunit ribosomal RNA", at positions 524 to 776 of the family's 1533-position model. The record is from RNAcentral.